AACUAACGCUGGCGGCGUGCCUAACACAUGCAAGUCGUACGAGAAAGUUGGCUUCGGCCGAUGAGUAAAGUGGCGCACGGGUGAGUAAUGCGUGGAUAAUCUGCCCUUUAGUUGGGAAUAACGUACCGAAAGGUGCGCUAAUACCUGAUAAUACUGCAUAACUACUGUUGUGUAGUCAAAGAAGGCCUCUGUUUACAAGCUUUUGCUGAAGGAUGAGUCCGCGUACCAUUAGCUGGUUGGUGGGGUAAUGGCCUACCAAGGCUACGAUGGUUAGCUGGUCUGAGAGGAUGAUCAGCCACACUGGAACUGAGACACGGUCCAGACUCCUACGGGAGGCAGCAGUGAGGGAAUAUUGCGCGAAUGGGGGCAACCCUGACGCAGCAACGCCGCGUGAGUGAGGAAGGUUUUCGGACCGUAAAGCUCUGUCGAGCGGGAAGAAAUGUAUCAUGGCUAAUAUCCAUGAUACUUGACGGUACCGCUAAAGG
This 485-nucleotide ribosomal RNA is filed under the name uncultured bacterium. Its description in RNAcentral is "bacterial SSU rRNA". It matches the Rfam family "Bacterial small subunit ribosomal RNA", at positions 29 to 487 of the family's 1533-position model. The record is from RNAcentral.